This 474-nucleotide ribosomal RNA is filed under the name Acanthurus nigricans (whitecheek surgeonfish). Its description in RNAcentral is "partial small subunit ribosomal RNA". It matches the Rfam family "Bacterial small subunit ribosomal RNA", at positions 788 to 1491 of the family's 1533-position model. Lineage: Eukaryota; Metazoa; Chordata; Actinopteri; Acanthuriformes; Acanthuridae. The record is from RNAcentral.
CACUAUGCCUAGCCCUAAACAUUGAUGAUAACUUACAAUUAUUAUCCGCCUGGGAACUACGAGCACCAGCUUAAAACCCAAAGGACUUGGCGGUGCUUUAGACCCACCUAGAGGAGCCUGUUCUAGAACCGAUAACCCCCGUUCAACCUCACCCUUCCUUGUUCCUCCCGCCUAUAUACCACCGUCGUCAGCUUACCCUGUGAAGGGCUAAUAGUAAGCAAAACUGGCAAAGCCCAAAACGUCAGGUCGAGGUGUAGCGCAUGGAAGGGGAAGAAAUGGGCUACAUUCACUAACCCAGUGCACACGAAUGACACCCUGAAACACGUGUCUGAAGGAGGAUUUAGCAGUAAGUAGAAAAUAGAGUGUUCUGCUGAAACUGGCCCUGAAGCGCGCACACACCGCCCGUCACUCUCCCCGAGCUAAGACUCUCAAGUAAAUAAGCAACUAUAACUGCAAAGGGGAGGCAAGUCGUAA